RNAcentral lists this ribosomal RNA (1323 nucleotides) under metagenome. RNAcentral's name for it is "bacterial LSU rRNA". It matches the Rfam family "Bacterial large subunit ribosomal RNA", at positions 1561 to 2925 of the family's 2925-position model. The record is from RNAcentral.
AGUGGAUGGGGAGCAACCUAGUUGUGCGUGUGUAAAGGUAGUGCCAAGAAAAGCGAUGAUCAUGUUGAAAAUCAAUUCCCGGUACCCGAAACCGACACAGGUGGGCAAGUAGAGAAUACUAAGGGGCGCGAGGUAACUCUCUCCAAGGAACUCGGCAAAAUGACCCCGUAACUUAGGGAGAAGGGGUGCCACCGAGAGGUGGUCGCAGUGAAGAGGCCCAGGCGACUGUUUAGCAAAAACAUAGGUCUCUGCAAACUCGAAAGAGGAGGUAUAGGGGCUGACGCCUGCCCAGUGCCGGAAGGUUAAAGAAGUUGGUCAGUUUUAGGAUGAAGCUAGCGACCGAAGCCCCGGUGAACGGCGGCCGUAGCUAUAACGGUCCUAAGGUAGCGAAAUUCCUUGUCGGGUAAGUUCCGACCCGCACGAAAGGCGUAACGAUCUGGGCGCUGUCUCGGAGAGAGGCUCGGCGAAAUAGGAUUGUCUGUGAAGAUACGGACUACCUGCAUUUGGACAGAAAGACCCUAUGAAGCUUUACUAUAGCUUGGAAUUGUGUUCGGGCUUCCUGUGCGCAGGAUAGGUGGGAGGCGUAGAAGGUAUUCUUGUGGGGAUACUGGAGCCAACGGUGAGAUACCACUCUCAGGAGGCUAGAAUUCUAACUUAAUUAAGGACAGUUUCAGGUGGGUAGUUUGACUGGGGCGGUCGCCUCCAGAAAGGUAACGGAGGCGUACAAAGGUUCCCUCAGACUGGUUGGAAAUUAGUCGAAGAGUGCAAAGGCAGAAGGGAGCUUGACUGCGAGAAGUACAGUUCGAGCAGGGUGGAAACACGGUCUUAGUGAUCCGACGGUGCUGUGUGGAAGGGCCGUCGCUCAACGGAUAAAAGUUACUCUAGGAUAACAGGCUGAUCUCCCCCAAGAGUUCACAUCGACGGGGAGGUUUGGCACCUCGAUGUCGGCUCAUCGCAACCUGGGGCGGAAGUACGUCCCAAGGUUGGGCUGUUCGCCCAUUAAAGCGGUACGUGAGCUGGGUUCAGAACGUCGUGAGACAGUUCGGUCCAUAUCCGAUGUAGGCGUGAGAAUAUUGAGAGGAGCCUUCCUUAGUACGAGAGGACCGGGAAGGACGCACCGCUGGUGUACCUGUUAUGAUGCCAAUUGUAAACGCAGGGUAGCCAAGUGCGGAGAGGAUAACCGCUGAAAGCAUCUAAGUGGGAAGCCCACCUCAAGAUGAGUAUUCUGGUGUAAGGUCACGGGAAGACGACCCGUAAAUAGGCACGAGGUGUAAGUGCAGAGAUGUAUGAAGCCGAAGUGUACUAAUAGACCGUCGGCUUGAC